Mytilus californianus (California mussel) is the source of this 690-nucleotide long non-coding RNA. RefSeq lists it as uncharacterized. The record is from RefSeq and is a predicted model, not a curated record. The transcript has 2 exons. Lineage: Eukaryota; Metazoa; Mollusca; Bivalvia; Mytilida; Mytilidae.
AAAAUGCUCCGCAGGGCGCAGCUUGAUACGACCACAGAGGUCGAACCCUGAACAGUUGGGGCAAGUAUGGACACAACAUUCAAGCUUGAUACAGCUCUGAAUUUGGAUUGUGAUUAAAUAUUUGACACAGCAUUGGUUUCUGACACAGAAAGAAUGUGGUCUAAGAACUUGAAUUUUUUUUAAUUUACCUAUUAUGGUCCAAUGUCCAAAAUCAAAAUACAUGGUUAGAUUCAGCAUAUCAAAGAACCCCAUGUAUUCAAUUUUUGUUAAAAUCAAACAAAGUUUAAUUUUGGACCCCAACUUGGACAAACUUGAAAACUGGGCCCAUAAUCAAAAAUUUAAACACAUGUUUAGAUUCAGCAUAUCAAAGAACCACAAGAAUUCAAUUUUUGCUAAAAUCAAACUAAGUUUAAUUUUGGACCCUUUGGACCUUAAUGUAGACCAAUUUAAAAACAGGACUUAAAAUUAAAAAUCUAAAUACACAGUUAAAUUUGGAAUAUCAAAGAACUCCAAUAAUUCAAUUUUUGAUGAAAUCAAACAAAGUUUAAUUUUGGACCCUUUUGACCUCAAUAUGAACCAAUUUGAUAGCGGGGCCCACAAAUAAAAAAUCUAAAUUCAUGGUUAGAUUCAGCAUAUCAAAGAACCCCAUAUAUUCAAUUUUUGUUGAAAUCAAACAAUUUUAAUUUUGGA